Molecule: ribosomal RNA, 293 nt
Filed under: uncultured bacterium
Lineage: Bacteria
Description: partial 16S ribosomal RNA
Rfam family: Archaeal small subunit ribosomal RNA
Source: RNAcentral
GUGCCAGCAGCCGCGGUAAUACCGGCAGCUCGAGUGAUGACCGAUCUUAUUGGGCCUAAAGCGUUCGUAGCCGGCCGGGCAAGUCCGUCGGGAAAUCUACCAGCCUAACUGGUAGGCGUCCGGCGGAAACUGCACGGCUUGGGACAGGGAGACUCGACGAGUACGUCCGGGGUAGGAGUGAAAUCCCGUAAUCCUGGACGGACUACCGAUGGCGAAAGCACGUCGAGAGAACUGCUCCGACGGUCAGGAACGAAAGCUGGGGUCUCGAACCGGAUUAGAUACCCGAGUAGUCC